This is a long non-coding RNA of Mesocricetus auratus (golden hamster), 312 nucleotides long. RefSeq lists it as uncharacterized. Lineage: Eukaryota; Metazoa; Chordata; Mammalia; Rodentia; Cricetidae. The record is from RefSeq and is a predicted model, not a curated record. The transcript has 3 exons.
AGGGAAGGAUCCCACAGAAAACCACGAGGCCCUAGAAGAAUUCAAGAAAUUCACAGAGGGGAAAGGCUUUCUACAGGAAAACAUCAUUGUUCCUAAGCAGAGAGAAAUGUGUGUCCCUGUAGAUCACAAAGCUGCCUCUCACAGAUGUAAAUCCUGAGCCAACUCUGCACCAAUGCAUAGCAAUGCCUUGGAGUACUCAUCUCCCUGGACCACGCAGCCAUGAGACACACCUUUCAAGACCAUCUCACGACCUGUCAGACCACACUCCUGCUAGGACCUUCUGCCCCACCCCAAACCCAAGUAAAGCCUUAA